AGCUUUGCGCAGUGGCAGUAUCGUAGCCAAUGAGGUUUAUCCGAGGCGCGAUUAUUGCUAAUUGAAAAAAUAAAACAGUGGCAUUAGUCCUUGAUGUAGACCAUGGAUACAAUCCUAAUUACAGG
Molecule: small nuclear RNA, 125 nt
Filed under: Lynx canadensis (Canada lynx)
Lineage: Eukaryota; Metazoa; Chordata; Mammalia; Carnivora; Felidae
Also listed under: 1 other name
Description: U4 spliceosomal RNA (ENSLCNG00005019028.1)
Rfam family: U4 spliceosomal RNA
About the family: U4 small nuclear RNA (U4 snRNA) is a component of the major U2-dependent spliceosome. The structure of U4 snRNA from yeast and human has been reported.
Source: Rfam by way of RNAcentral